RNAcentral lists this non-coding RNA (110 nucleotides) under Clostridium sulfidigenes. RNAcentral describes it as "SAM-I sequence". It matches the Rfam family "SAM riboswitch aptamer (S box leader)". Rfam says of the family: The SAM riboswitch is found upstream of a number of genes which code for proteins involved in methionine or cysteine biosynthesis in Gram-positive bacteria. The SAM riboswitch acts at the level of transcription termination control. Lineage: Bacteria; Bacillati; Bacillota; Clostridia; Eubacteriales; Clostridiaceae. The record is from Rfam by way of RNAcentral.
AUCUUAUCAAGAGAGGCAGAGGGACUGGCCCUAUGAAGCCCGGCAACCAAAGGUAGUUAUUUUAAACUUUAUGGUGCUAAAUCCAGCAGGAUUAACCUGGAAGAUAAGAA